RNAcentral lists this ribosomal RNA (324 nucleotides) under uncultured eukaryote. Its description in RNAcentral is "partial 18S ribosomal RNA". It matches the Rfam family "Eukaryotic small subunit ribosomal RNA", at positions 1470 to 1796 of the family's 1831-position model. The record is from RNAcentral.
CCCUUAGAUGUCCUGGGCUGCACGCGCGCUACACUGAUGUGUCCAGUAAGCACCUAACCUCUUCCGAGAGGAGCGGGUAACCUUAGCAAAGCACAUCGUGAUGGGGAUAGAUUAUUGCAAUUAUUAGUCUUGAACGAGGAAUUCCUAGUAAGCACAAGUCAUCAGCUUGUGUUGAUUACGUCCCUGCCCUUUGUACACACCGCCCGUCGCUCCCACCGAUUGAAUGUUCCGGUGAGCUCUUCGGACUGCGCGGUCUGCAGUUUCUGCGUUCCGUGCGGAAAGUUGUGCAAACCUUAACAUUUAGAGGAAGGAGAAGUCGUAACA